Long non-coding RNA from Microtus ochrogaster (prairie vole), 3276 nucleotides. RefSeq lists it as uncharacterized. NCBI's taxonomy places the organism in Eukaryota, Metazoa, Chordata, Mammalia, Rodentia, Cricetidae. The transcript is spliced from 3 exons. The record is from RefSeq and is a predicted model, not a curated record.
CUAACAUGAAUGUGUUCUCUCUCCCCAGGCCUCGCACCCAAGUCCCCUGCAUGGGGCGGGAUGGCGCUUAACAUCGUGACAGACACGCGAGACCCAGACAUGACCCCAAGGGCCUUGGUGCCAGUGUCAUUGUAGCAUCACCCGUGGCUGCCACGCCGUGACAUGGGCAGAGCCUUAGAGCCACGCUCAUGGUGAUGUCACUGAACACGGAUGUCAGGGCCAACUGGCUACCGAGGAUGCUGGGAGCGAGUGGUGGGCUCGGCCAUGAUUGACAGCUCUGCUGACCAACCCCGUGUGGCCCCACCAUGAUGAGGCCCCGCCCACCCAGCAGCCGCCAUCAUGCGUGUGCUCAUCUGCCUCUGCCCUGGAUCCCAUCCCUGUCACGCAUGUUCAUGUGUGUCUCCCGUCCCCGCCCCCAUGGCCCCAUGACCACUGGCAUGUUGCAUGUGAGUGGCGUAUUGAGUGUGGGCAUUGGUGGGUUCUGCGUGGGCGCCGUGGUGAGCACGCGGUACAGGAAGCUGCGUGGUCUGUAUGCGCCCCUGCUGGGCCCCUUGGAGCAGUUCCUGGGUGUCAUCAACACAUAGUUAAAUAGACAACAUAUUGCUUUAUUUCAUUGCCCAUAAAGAUAAUGAAUGCAUACUAUGAAAUGAAAGUAUUGCUAUGCAGCUGUGUCUCUCAGCUACAUCAUCAGCAAAGAAUGCAGAUAUUGCAAUGCUUAUUCAACACACUUAAUUAAUAUAGUCUGUCAAUAAAUGGCCAACAUUGUCCUAAUCAUACUUUUCUAUCUCCAGCAGAUGUGGAUAAAUGUGUGAGAUGUCCAGAGAAUGAGUAUGCAAACAGAGAGCAGAACCAGUGUGUUCAAAAAGCUGUGGUCUUCCUGAACUACAAAGACACCUUAGGGAUGGUUCUCACCUUAAUGGCCUUAUUCUUGUCUGCAUUCACAACAUCCCCGUGAUAAGUUGGAUUCAUCCAAGGCAUGCUGGUAUGGUUCAACAUACAAAAAAAAAAUCUAUAGUGUAAUUACAAUAUAAACAAACUAAAAGAAUAAAAACAAAAUAAUUAUCUUAUUAGAUGCUGAAAAAGCAUUCAACAAAAUUAAACAUCCCUUAAGGAUAAAGGUCUUGGAGAGAUCAUGUAUAAAAGGAACACAUAUAAACAUAAGAAAACAAUACAGAGGAAGCCAAGAGUCAAAAUCAAUUCAAAUGGAGGGAAAUUCAAAGUAAUUAUACUAAAAUCAGGAACAAGAAAAGGCUGUUCACUCUCACUAUAUCUAUUCAACAAAGUACUCAAAGUUCUAGCAGGAGCAAUAAAACAACAAAAGGAGAUUAAACGAAUACAAAUUUGUAACACCCGAUUUUGUGUUACACGCUCGGUACAGUUCGUGCGCCAUUGCACUGUACACGAGUCGGGCAAGAGCCUGGAGAUUGAAAGAACACACAGACCAGGGUCAUUCGAAAGGAGAUCAGCCAAAUGCCAGUUUAUUCAGAAUAGGGGGAGUCCUUAUCUACCUAACCUCUGCACAAGGAUCUCCGCCCAGGCAGGUGGGAAAUUGCCAUAUUAACAAUAGAGACAAUGCCCUGCAGCUAAUCACCAGGUGGGGCAGGGAGAGCACAGAAACACACAGGAAGCUUAGUUAGCUGACUAUAAACUGUCCCCGUGAAUGCACCCCAGGAAUAAAGGCAGACCAGGGCCCUACAGGUCCCCCUUUUAUAUAAAUUAUGACUAGGCCUGUAUUGGGUGGCAUUGGACGUCAGGCAAUACCCCUUACCUGUCAUGGGAAAGCAUCCAGGUCAAAACACAUUUCCUGUCUUAGGUUGGGGCAGCCCCCCAAAAGCCUUUCCUGUCAUUGGCUCACUAGUCAACCAUCACCGAGUUCAGCCAGAUUUAUGCUGAAAGAUUCUCUGGGGCAAUAGCUAAGAGGACUUUCCAUGUGGCAACAUUGACCUGAGCUUGCCUUUGGCUCUGGCAUGAUGCUCCAGCACAUAUAAGCAUCCCUUAAGGAGACUGUGCUUGCUCAAUCCUUAAUAAUUUUGCCCAAAUUGGAGCCCUUUAAGUAAGGUCUCAGUGCUGGUGAAAGGAAUCCUGGUAUAGCUAAUUAGAAUAAUUUUAAGAGCCAAUUUGCAAAUUGUACACCUCAGGGUCCAUGAAUAACAGCAAUAAGCCUAUUACUGUAACAUCUAGCAGUGGUCUUUAACCAUAACCAAGAUCAGAAUCAACUGCAAUAUUCAUUUGUAACUUUAGCUCAAUUAGAAUGGCCAAGGCAUUUGCAACCUGCCCUGAGAAGGUAUCAUUUAUGCUAGCAGGAAGCAACUGACUGACUAAUGAAAAAUCCAGCAGCUGCUGUGGCAGCAACAGCUAUGGCUGCCGAUAUCAUGGGAUGGGUAGAUGGGUAGAGGAACAAUCCUUGGCACUCGGACCACCGCAGCCAGCUCCUCAGGAAUCCUGCAACUCUUAAGUUGCCAAGCCAGAAUCUCCUUGAUCUCUUGGCUUUGUCCUGUCUUCAGGCUUCUGGACAGGAAAACACACAGCACGCACCAGCCGCUCAGGUGCCCAUAUUGGAUUGUCAGCAUCCUGCGGGAAAACACAAACAGCCCCUCUUCCCCACACCAGUACAGGAUCUGGACCAUACCAGGUGCUGUCUGAUAGAUUCAUCCAUUUGACAUGAGGCAUCCCGGAAGAAUCUGGUCGCCAAUGCCGUUCAGCAGCAGUAUGAGAUUGAGCAUCAAGAGUCAAAAAAUUUAAAAUGUAUAAAAUAAAAGAUAAAUGAUCUCUGGGGUUGGAACCAUAUUCCCCCUUUUUAGUUUUAUGCAAAUAGGCUUUGAGCGUAUGAUGCGCUCGCUCCACUAUAGCUUGUCCUUGAGGAUUAUAAGGUAUUUUCGUUUUGUGAGAAAUAGAAAACUUAGAGCAAAAUUUAGCAAAGCCAGUGCUAGUAUAGGCUGGUCCUGUAGGGAUAGCCCAACUCCCUUAGGGGGCGUGUUUGCCUUGGGCUAAUGUUUACAUAUAAAUCUGGCAAGUGUGAGCCAGCCACCGCUUUUGCUUUCCUGUUCUCCCCGGGAACCUGUGGUUCUGUAAGUCUAUUUCCCCAUUAAAGAUGUAUAUAUUAUUACAAUCUGUCUGCAUUCAUUUUCGCCGAUACAUUUGGCCCCUAAUGUCCAGCUUUUUUGCCCCGCCCCGAGCAGCUCGGGGACGUAGGCUUGAAUUUUAAUUUGAGAGAGUUACACAUCCCAAUCUCGUAGCCCUCUGACUGGGUCCUAAAAACACAGUAACUCCCAGGUG